CUUGAAAAGGUACGCUGGUAUAUAUCGUGCAUCACUCAGCCUACUGUGUACUUUUCGCCAAUGAAAAGGACAAAGAAGUUAACUUGCCUGUGUUCGUCGGGUCGCAGCGCUCUCUCCAAAGUAACAGAUAUCUCAGGCCGGCUCAGGAAUGUCUGAAGACGAGGACUUCGACGGAGGCAGCGAAACCGUAAAUGAGUCAACAUCUACCACGUCUGAGGCGUCUGUGUUGGAAGGCACGGAUCAAAAGAGUG
This is a long non-coding RNA of Dermacentor andersoni, 251 nucleotides long. RefSeq lists it as uncharacterized. The record is from RefSeq and is a predicted model, not a curated record. Lineage: Eukaryota; Metazoa; Arthropoda; Arachnida; Ixodida; Ixodidae.